This 168-nucleotide small RNA is filed under the name Mycobacterium palustre. Its description in RNAcentral is "Magnesium sequence". It matches the Rfam family "M-box riboswitch aptamer (ykoK leader)". Rfam says of the family: M-box riboswitch, also know as ykoK leader is described as a metaloregulatory RNA that sense divalent metals and function as a genetic control element of genes related to divalent metal transport in bacteria. Lineage: Bacteria; Bacillati; Actinomycetota; Actinomycetes; Mycobacteriales; Mycobacteriaceae. The record is from RNAcentral.
UAUGCACCUCGUUAGGUGAGGCGUCUACACGAAUACAGGCCACUGACCCCGAACGUCGAAAGACGCCCCGGGUCAGGACAGCUCCUCCCGGCUUAAGGGUUGAGCCCAGGUGGCUUCCGAUUGCGGACACGUCGUGUGGUGCCAAAUCUCUGACGAGAGGGGUGCACG